This 84-nucleotide transfer RNA is filed under the name Roseivirga spongicola. It matches the Rfam family "tRNA". Rfam says of the family: Transfer RNA (tRNA) molecules are approximately 80 nucleotides in length. Their secondary structure includes four short double-helical elements and three loops (D, anti-codon, and T loops). RNAcentral also lists the same sequence under 3 other names. The record is from Rfam by way of RNAcentral. Lineage: Bacteria; Pseudomonadati; Bacteroidota; Cytophagia; Cytophagales; Roseivirgaceae.
GCCGGAGUGGUGGAAUUGGUAGACACGCAAGACUUAAAAUCUUGUGACCUUCGGGUCGUGCGGGUUCAAGUCCCGCCUCUGGUA